AUGCGGAGUCACAUGGUGAAGUCACCGAGGUCCACAUGUGGGUCUCAGCUUUCUCAGCUCUGGGACUCAGACCCUGUAACCACUGGCCCAUUCUCUUCCAUACUCAAUGUGGAUUACCCAUCCUCUACCUUGCAGCUGGGGGACAGCCUGGAGCGGAGACAUCUUGGAGGUGACCAUGUUGCACAAAAGGUUCAUGAAGCACCAGCAUUUACAUUUUAAUAUACUGCUAUAAGGAUCCAAGGACCUUGUAGUAAUUCCAUUUAAACAGUGAAUCAGUGAUAUGAUCCUCAGGAACACAGCAAUAGACACAGCUGAAGUUUCUGUGAAGAUCUGUGAAGUUUCUGUGAAGUUUCUGUGAAGAUCAGUAAAUGGCAUUGAAUGUACAGAAUAUAUUCCCAGUUGAAGGUAAGGCUUUCUAGGUCCCCAAAUUUCCCCACAGGAACAUUCAGCUGUGGAUGAUACAACUAACAUGGACUAAGAAUUGCACUAGGCAUAAGAAAUUCCCCUUGCCAUCCUUAUGGAGGUUCAUAGCCUUCAAAAAGCCCUCCACAACCAACAUGACUAUUCUGGGCAUUCUGUCUACCUUUCCACCAGCUUCAAAACAACUACACAC
Molecule: long non-coding RNA, 613 nt
Filed under: Piliocolobus tephrosceles (Ugandan red Colobus)
Lineage: Eukaryota; Metazoa; Chordata; Mammalia; Primates; Cercopithecidae
Description: lncRNA (ENSPTEG00000027741.1)
Source: RNAcentral